This 291-nucleotide long non-coding RNA is filed under the name Gallus gallus (chicken). RNAcentral describes it as "lncRNA (ENSGALG00010009402.1)". The record is from RNAcentral. Lineage: Eukaryota; Metazoa; Chordata; Aves; Galliformes; Phasianidae.
UUUCUUUCUUUCUUUCUUUCUUUUUCUUCCUUUCUUCCUUUCUUCCUUUCUUCCUUUCUUCCUUUCUUCCUUUCUUUCUUUCCUUCUUUCCUUCUUUCCUUCUUUCCUUCCUUCUUUCCUUCUUUCCUUCUUUCUUUCCUUCUUUCUUUUCUUUUUUGGCCUGAUGGGAACAGAGCAAAGAGCAAGAAGCAAAGGAUUAAAUCACAUCAGAAAAUUGUUGGAUAUAUCCCUUUGCUCAAAGAAAUGGCUUGUUCUCUGCUCCUGAGAUAUUGGUGAAAAGCUGUAAUUAAG